GACAGAGGGUGCAAACGUUGUUCGGAAUUACUGGGCGUAAAGCGUGUGUAGGCGGCCACGUAAGUCGGAUGUGAAAGCCCCAGGCUCAACCUGGGAAGUGCAUUCGAUACUGCGUGGCUUGAGUAUCGGAGAGGUUGGUGGAAUUCUCGGUGUAGAGGUGAAAUUCGUAGAUAUCGAGAGGAACACCGGUGGCGAAGGCGGCCAACUGGACGAAUACUGACGCUGAGACACGAAAGCGUGGGGAGCAAACAGG
This 253-nucleotide ribosomal RNA is filed under the name uncultured bacterium. RNAcentral's name for it is "partial 16S ribosomal RNA". It matches the Rfam family "Bacterial small subunit ribosomal RNA", at positions 524 to 776 of the family's 1533-position model. The record is from RNAcentral.